GAUGAACGCUCGCUACAGGCUUAACACAUGCAAGUCGAGGGGAAACGACAUCGAAAGCUUGCUUUUGAUGGGCGUCGACCGGCGCACGGGUGAGUAACGCGUAUCCAACCUGCCCAUCACUUGGGAAUAACCUUGCGAAAGUAAGACUAAUACCCAAUGAUAUCCCACGAAGGCAUCGGAAUGGGAUUAAAGAUUUAUCGGUGAUGGAUGGGGAUGCGUCUGAUUAGCUUGUUGGCGGGGUAACGGCCCACCAAGGCAACGAUCAGUAGGGGUUCUGAGAGGAAGGUCCCCCACAUUGGAACUGAGACACGGUCCAAACUCCUACGGGAGGCAGCAGUGAGGAAUAUUGGUCAAUGGGCGAGAGCCUGAACCAGCCAAGUAGCGUGCAGGAAGACGGCCCUAUGGGUUGUAAACUGCUUUUAUAAGGGAAUAAAGUGGGUCACGUGUGACUUUUUGCAUGUACCUUAUGAAUAAGGAUCGGCUAAUUCCGCG
RNAcentral lists this ribosomal RNA (492 nucleotides) under uncultured bacterium. RNAcentral describes it as "partial 16S ribosomal RNA". It matches the Rfam family "Bacterial small subunit ribosomal RNA", at positions 28 to 507 of the family's 1533-position model. The record is from RNAcentral.